This 37-nucleotide transfer RNA is filed under the name Azadinium spinosum. Its description in RNAcentral is "partial Selenocysteine transfer RNA". Lineage: Eukaryota; Dinophyceae; Gonyaulacales; Amphidomataceae. The record is from RNAcentral.
GUGCACUUGUCUUCAAACCCGUUGUGGUGCGUCCACG